UUCCAGACUCCUACGGGAGGCAGCAGUGAGGAAUAUUGGUCAAUGGGCGCGAGCCUGAACCAGCCAAGUCGCGUGAGGGAUGACGGCCCUACGGGUUGUAAACCUCUUUAGGCGGGGAGCAAUGCCGGGCACGCGUGUCCGGAGGGAGAGUACCCGCAGAAUAAGCAUCGGCUAACUCCGUGCCAGCAGCCGCGGUAAUACGGAGGAUGCGAGCGUUAUCCGGAUUUAUUGGGUUUAAAGGGUGCGUAGGCGGAUUUUUAAGUCAGCGGUAAAAUGUCCGGGCUCAACCCGGGCCGGCCGUUGAAACUGGCGUUCUUGAGUGGGCGAGAAGUAUGCGGAAUGCGUGGUAUAGCGGUGAAAUGCAUAGAUAUCACGCAGAACUCCGAUUGCGAAGGCAGCAUACCGGCGCCCAACUGACGCUGAAGCACGAAAGCGUGGGUAUCGAACAGGAUUAGAUACCCGCGUA
RNAcentral lists this ribosomal RNA (466 nucleotides) under uncultured bacterium. RNAcentral describes it as "bacterial SSU rRNA". It matches the Rfam family "Bacterial small subunit ribosomal RNA", at positions 329 to 792 of the family's 1533-position model. The record is from RNAcentral.